CGCUCGUCUCCUCUGCGGCUCCCGCCGGGCCCUUGGUGCCCGGCCGGCCCCGGCGCGGCAGGGCAUGGUGGCGCCCGGGCUGGGGCCGUGGCUCCUGGCCUUGUCCUUGGCCGCGGGGCCGGCAGGGCUGUGGGCGCAGCUGAGGCUGGUGGAGACCGGCGGAGGGCUGCGAGCACCCGGGGACUCCGUGCACCUCUCCUGCCGCGGAUCCGGCUUCACCUUCGGGAAUUAUGUCGUUCUGUGGUACCGUCAGGCACCGGGCAGCAGUCUCGAGUGGGUGUCCCUCAUCAGUGCAUGGAGCAAUACAAAUUAUGGCCCAGCAGUGGAGGGCCGAGCCACAGCCUCCCGGGACAAUUCCCGUUCCGAGUCAUCUCUGUCGCUGCGGGACCUGCGCCCUCAGGACUCUGCCCGCUACUUCUGUGCCGUUCUCACGGAGACAGGAAAUCCAGCAGAGCUUUAACACAAACCUCGCACCAGGGUCCUGGCUCUGGGUCUUGGAGCUGGCAGGGAGGCGAGUCCCCCAGAUGUUCAGGGUUGUUCUCAGAGAGCCAUGUAGUUAACAGCAUAGAGUUUUCAAAUGGUUGAUUCUGACUGG
This is a non-coding RNA of Grus americana (Whooping crane), 595 nucleotides long. NCBI's taxonomy places the organism in Eukaryota, Metazoa, Chordata, Aves, Gruiformes, Gruidae. The record is from the annotation of a RefSeq genome assembly.